GCCGAAGUGGUGGAACUGGUAGACGCGCUGCGUUCAGGGCGCAGUGGGCUUAAGCCCGUGGGGGUUCGAGUCCCCCCUUCGGCA
This 84-nucleotide transfer RNA is filed under the name Gemmatimonadaceae bacterium. Its description in RNAcentral is "tRNA-Leu". It matches the Rfam family "tRNA". From Rfam's summary of the family: Transfer RNA (tRNA) molecules are approximately 80 nucleotides in length. Their secondary structure includes four short double-helical elements and three loops (D, anti-codon, and T loops). Lineage: Bacteria; Pseudomonadati; Gemmatimonadota; Gemmatimonadia; Gemmatimonadales; Gemmatimonadaceae. The record is from RNAcentral. RNAcentral also lists the same sequence under 1 other name.